This 227-nucleotide non-coding RNA is filed under the name Mesorhizobium loti. The record is from RNAcentral. Lineage: Bacteria; Pseudomonadati; Pseudomonadota; Alphaproteobacteria; Hyphomicrobiales; Phyllobacteriaceae.
AAAGUCUCUUCCGAUGAAGAAGAGCCCCGAGUCAUGCGCGGGCGGCCGUGAGGACGUACGUGAAGCGUUGACAGGGGAGCAAGCAGGCCAGGUAUUAAGCCUCGAAAAAUGCAGCAUCCAGGCGCCGACGCACUCAAAUCCUUAUGCUCCCCUCUAUCGCGCCAUCAUCGUUUCCUGCGAUGCCACAAGUCGAUUGCAGGAUUGGUCCCGGCGCCGGUCGAAGCCGA